This 150-nucleotide ribosomal RNA is filed under the name Triticum aestivum (bread wheat). Its description in RNAcentral is "partial small subunit ribosomal RNA". Lineage: Eukaryota; Viridiplantae; Streptophyta; Magnoliopsida; Poales; Poaceae. The record is from RNAcentral.
CAUAUAUCAUAUAUUAAACUGAUAAGAACAGAUACUACACUUGAUCUUAGCCAAAAGGCCGAGAAAGGUAUGAGUUGAAACGUAGUCUUGCCCCUGCUCUUAUACCCGUCCGAAGAGCUAUGCUGAUCUGCGCAAGCGGUGUGGGACUAA